This 452-nucleotide ribosomal RNA is filed under the name uncultured bacterium. RNAcentral describes it as "bacterial SSU rRNA". It matches the Rfam family "Bacterial small subunit ribosomal RNA", at positions 28 to 507 of the family's 1533-position model. The record is from RNAcentral.
GAUGAACGCUGGCGGCGUGCCUAACACAUGCAAGUCGAGCGAUCUUCUUCGGAAGAGAGCGGCGGACGGGUGAGUAACGCGUGGGUAACCUGCCUCAUACACAUGGAUAACAUACCGAAAGGUAUGCUAAUACAAGAUGAUAUAAGAGAUUCGCAUGGAUUUCUUAUCAAAGCUUUUGCGGUAUGAGAUGGACCCGCGUCUGAUUAGCUAGUUGGUAAGGUAAUGGCUUACCAAGGCUUCGAUCAGUAGCCGACCUGAGAGGGUGAUCGGCCACAUUGGAACUGAGACACGGUCCAAACUCCUACGGGAGGCAGCAGUGGGGAAUAUUGCACAAUGGGCGAAAGCCUGAUGCAGCAACGCCGCGUGAGCGAUGAAGGCCUUCGGGUCGUAAAGCUCUGUCCUCAAGGAAGAUAAUGACGGUACUUGAGGAGGAAGCCCCGGCUAACUACGUG